UACGGAGGGGGCUAGCGUUGUCCGGAAUUAUUGGGCGUAAAGAGCUCGUAGGCGGUGUGUCGCGUCGGCCGUGAAAACCUGUGGCUUAACUAUGGGCUUGCGGUCGAUACGGGCAUCACUGGAGUUCGGCAGGGGAGACUGGAAUUCCUGGUGUAGCGGUGAAAUGCGCAGAUAUCAGGAGGAACACCGGUGGCGAAGGCGGGUCUCUGGGCCGAUACUGACGCUGAGGAGCGAAAGCGUGGGGAGCGAACAGG
RNAcentral lists this ribosomal RNA (254 nucleotides) under uncultured bacterium. Its description in RNAcentral is "partial 16S ribosomal RNA". It matches the Rfam family "Bacterial small subunit ribosomal RNA", at positions 524 to 776 of the family's 1533-position model. The record is from RNAcentral.